Molecule: long non-coding RNA, 1014 nt
Filed under: Homo sapiens (human)
Lineage: Eukaryota; Metazoa; Chordata; Mammalia; Primates; Hominidae
Description: PREDICTED lncRNA (TCONS_00252762)
Source: RNAcentral
GCACAGCAGCUGCUGGCCCAGGUGCUAAGCCCCUCACUGCCUGGGGCUGGCGGGGCCGGCAGGCCGCUCCGAGUGCGGGCCCGCCGAGCCUACGCCCACCCGGAACUCGCGCUGGCCCGGAAGCACCGCGCGCAGCCCCGGUUCCGGCCCGCGCCUCUCCCUCCACACCUCCCCACAAGCUGAGGGAGCCGGCUGCGGCCUUCGCCAGCCCAGAAAGGGGCUCCUACAGUGCAGUGGCGGGCUGAAGGGCUGCUCAAGCGCCGCCAAAGUGGGAGCCCAGGCAGAGGAGGCGCCCAGAGCGAGCGAGGGCUGUGAGGACUGCCAGCACGCUGUCACCUCUCACUCAUAUAGAUUGCCAAUCUAUUUGUGAACCAGGUUUGCUGGAGUUUGGAUUUACUACUGAGUCAUAUUUGGAGCAUGCUGGAAUCUUACAACUGAGAUUACCGAGUCAGAAACUUGCAAACAUGAGUAACAUGGCCCUGCUCUGGAGACUACUGGGAACACAAACACAGCCAUUUAAGACAUCUACCUGCUUCUCCUUUGCCUUCCAUCAUGACUGAAAGUUGUCUGAGGUCUCCCAGCCACGUGUCCUGUACAGCCUGUGGAACUGUCACACUGAAUUUGGACACUGGAGAAGAGAAAGGAGAAGGCCAUUCUGGCUACCCUAGGACUCAGAGACGACUUUAAAGAAGAAUCAGAAAAUGGAGACUGGGAUUGGAAGCAGAGAUCCGAUGGCCAAAUUACAGUCUGCCACUGAAGCUAACACACCUAUGGAUAACCCAACCUGUAAACUCAAUGUGGAACACAGUUUGAGAAAAGAAGUGAGAAGAUUCAAUUUUGAAGUUGGAUCACUCUCCUACAGGCAAUGAAGACCACAUCACUGAUGAACUCUGACUAAUACAUCAUGAACUUGCAGAAUUUUGGAUAUUUGACAAAUCUGAGGAAUUGAAGAGACGGGCACCUCACCUUUUCUGAGCAGAAGAGUUCAUUUGAUGAAACCUGAAGUAGAGAGCA